CUGGGAGCUUGCUACCUCCAUGGCAAAUGGUUGCCCACGGGGGUGGCUGUUUCUCAUAUGCUGGAGCAAGAAUGGUACAGGACCAUGUUUUACUGCCCAGAUAAUAUCAAAAUGCAUUCUCUGAUGUAACUAGAGCUUGAUCCCUUAACUGCUUUGAAAACUCAAACCAAGGCUUUCAGCUGGAAAAGGAACGUGACUGGAUGCCAGUGGAAGGUUUUCAGGACAAGCUUCAUGUUCCUACUAAACCCAGCACCCUGGAAGAAGAGCAGUCACAUAGGCACCAUCAGGGGCUGGAUGAAUGGGAGUAGGAGCUGAAGUCUAAUCCAGGCAGAUGGUUGUCAAGAGCUGUACACAGAAUCUGAGAAUACAGAAAGAAAUAAGAAGAGAACUUCCACCAUUUUGGUUCUGUAUCAUGAAUGGCAUUUUCUCUGUGUCUGAGAAGACAUCCUUCUUAUGAAAGGCCCACUACUGUAACAAAAGCUCCCUUAGCCCAUGAUGCUGUAAAACCCAGGAUGAUUAUGGCGGUGAGCAAAAUCUUCUGUGCGCACUCUUAUAGCCUCAACUGCUGCAAGCUGACUUAGCAUCGUUGACUUUAAUGGUCCUGUGUUUGCAAAGCACUUCUGCCAGCUGUGAAUCUGAACCACUGUAUUAAAUUCAUUACAACGUGAGCUAACUAUCCAGGGACUAUGUUUAGACUUCAGAUGAUCCUGUGUAAAUACACCAGGAAAACAUUUCCAGGAAGCUCCUAAUUUAGCCUUUUCCAGUGGUCCAAUUACUUUGUAUUUCAUUAAAAUUGCCUACUCAAAGAAUUAAGGAGAGGAAAAUAAACAACCCUCAGGGCUCAUGUUUGUGAUGUCUGCCACAGAGUCACAGGGCAUACUUUGAGGUGCUGCCUUGUAAAGAUUAUUUUGCCUUAGUGAACAAAAUUCAAGUUUUCCCUCACACUGAAGAAAGAGCACAUGAUGGCCUCCCAAAUAUAUAGAAGCUUAAGAAACUCAAAUGGAGAGUCAAGACAAUAACUGUUUUUGGAGAGGAAAAGGCAACACAGAUGUGAGUUUUUUGGAUGUGAUCCGUUUCUUGGUGUUAUUUCAGCAUUUUGCUUGUAAAGGAUGUGUACAAAUUCAGUGCAUUAGACUGAUGUAGGGAAAGAACACAUGUAGUUACAAAAAUGCCUGACAGAUGGGAAGUGCUUGGGGGAUCUGAGGUCAGAGGAUAACUGAUUGCUCAUAUGUUAUCUAGUAAAAUAAAUAAAUAAUUGACAGUUCAGUCUCUACAAAAUCAGUGAAAAGAGCACAGGUUGCCAGGUCUGGAGAACAAUAUAUAGAUUGCUGAACACAGCUGUUGAGAUUUUAGAGAUAGUAUUGAAUGAUCUUUCUAUUAACAAAUAAGAUAUUGGACGCUGCCUAAUUUUAACUGUUGCAUACAAGUUGGAAAUGAUGGAAUUUUUGCACAGUAAGACAUGAACUUUCUGGAAAUAAUGAUGAUCUUCUUGAAUUGCAGGAACCGCUCUUACACAAUGCCUGUGAAACUUCAGCAAAAAUAGAGCACAGCAAAUGCUUCACAGGGAAGGACUCCAGUCAAAUGGAUAAUGAAAGCAAACAUAUGCAAGCCAGAAAACCACUCCAGACCUUAAAAACAAUUAAAAGCCAUUAUGUUAAAAGUAAUCACUGCAGCAUUCUGGAUAGUACAAAAAACCUAAACAUGCUACAAGUCAUACUCUACAUUGCAAGGGCUGGGCUGUGACUUAGGGUUUCCAAGAACAAUUGAUGGUCACAGGUGAAGAAUACUAUCUUACAAUCAUAGAAUCAUUUUGGUUGGGUUGGUCCUUUAAGAUCAUUAAGUCCAACUUAACCUAGCACUGCAGAGUCACCACUAAACCAUGUCCUUCGGCACUACCUCUGCAUGGUUUUUAAACAUCUCCAGGUAUGGGGACUCCACCACUUCCCAGGGCAGUGUAUU
Molecule: long non-coding RNA, 1959 nt
Organism: Dryobates pubescens (Downy woodpecker)
Lineage: Eukaryota; Metazoa; Chordata; Aves; Piciformes; Picidae
Exons: 5
Source: RefSeq, a predicted model, not a curated record